Molecule: long non-coding RNA, 541 nt
Filed under: Setaria italica (foxtail millet)
Lineage: Eukaryota; Viridiplantae; Streptophyta; Magnoliopsida; Poales; Poaceae
Description: long non-coding RNA (SITA_LNC001410)
Source: RNAcentral
GCCAACAGGUUGAGGAGGAUCUGACACUUGACCAACUCCGAUCGAGAUUCGGAUGAGUCCAACAACGGAGUGACGUUUAUUUUGGUCUUUCCUGAUGCUACCCACAAAUACUGUCGCCCAAAUUGGUUGGUUGCGGAGUGCUGUCAUGCUGAGGAAUGUAAACUGUGCUUCGUGCAUCUUCUGAUUCGGGGGCAGGGCGAUUGCAGAGUUAAAGUAGACCUGAUCUUGGGUGUCCUCGCUGAACGCGUCCCUCUGAUUCUGAACAGGACCACGUACCGACCAUGGCUGCCUACGAUCGAUGCGACUGUUUCGAUGUGAACUUGCGAUUGUUCGCUACAGAGUUCUGCAUCAAUACUCCCUCCGUCCUAAAUUAUAGAUCAUUUUAGCUAUUCUAGAUGCAUAAGUAUUAUAAUGCAUCUAAGCAUAAGGUAUAUCUAAGUGUCAGCUUCACACUGCAUUUAAUUCAUACCCAACAUCUGCCCCGUGAAAUAAAUAGUAGUAAUAAUCAGUAAACGCAGGAAAGGCAAGAGAACCAACAGCC